AUUGAACGCUGGCGGCAUGCCUUACACAUGCAAGUCGAACGGCAGCACGGGGGCAACCCUGGUGGCGAGUGGCGAACGGGUGAGUAAUACAUCGGAACGUGCCCAGUAGUGGGGGAUAGCCCGGCGAAAGCCGGAUUAAUACCGCAUACGACCCACGGGUGAAAGCGGGGGAUCGCAAGACCUCGCGCUAUUGGAGCGGCCGAUGUCAGAUUAGGUUGUUGGUGGGGUAAAAGCCACCAAGCCGACGAUCUGUAGCUGGUCUGAGAGGACGACCAGCCACACUGGGACUGAGACACGGCCCAGACUCCUACGGGAGGCAGCAGUGGGGAAUUUUGGACAAUGGGCGCAAGCCUGAUCCAGCCAUGCCGCGUGCGGGAAGAAGGCCU
This 386-nucleotide ribosomal RNA is filed under the name uncultured bacterium. RNAcentral's name for it is "bacterial SSU rRNA". It matches the Rfam family "Bacterial small subunit ribosomal RNA", at positions 29 to 417 of the family's 1533-position model. The record is from RNAcentral.